GACGAACGCUGGCGGCGUGCUUAACACAUGCAAGUCGAACGGUGAAGCGCCUUCCUUUUUGGUGGGUGUGGAUGAGUGGCGAACGGGUGAGUAACACGUGAGUAACCUGCCCCCUUCUUCUGGAUAACCGCAUGAAAGUGUGGCUAAUACGGGAUAUUCUGGGUCUGUCGCAUGAUGGGUCUGGGAAAGAUAUUGUUUCGGUGGGGGAUGGGCUCGCGGCCUAUCAGCUUGUUGGUGGGGUGAUGGCCUACCAAGGCGGUGACGGGUAGCCGGCCUGAGAGGGUGGACGGUCACACUGGGACUGAGACACGGCCCAGACUCCUACGGGAGGCAGCAGUGGGGAAUAUUGCACAAUGGGCGCAGGCCUGAUGCAGCGACGCCGCGGGAGGGAUGGAGGCCUGCGGGUUGUGAACCUCUUUCGCCAGUGAAGCAGGCCUGCCUCGUUUGUGGGUGGGUUGACGGUAGCUGGAGAAGAAGCGCCGGCUAACUACGUG
Molecule: ribosomal RNA, 494 nt
Filed under: uncultured bacterium
Lineage: Bacteria
Description: partial 16S ribosomal RNA
Rfam family: Bacterial small subunit ribosomal RNA
Source: RNAcentral